UGUAGACGUCUGUUACGAGGGUACCCGACAUCUAGGCUACUAUAGACGUCAGUCCCUCCCGUAACAGACGUCUAUAUGUCUGACAGGCAGGUGAAAAGUCAUUUUUUUCUGCCAUAUAGACAUCGGAUCCCGCCACCCCGACAUCUAUAUAUGACUAUAGACGUUACCCCCCUGUAACGGACGUCUAUAUGGCUGAUAGGGUAGGUGAAAGGUUAGCCUAGACGUCGGGCACCCUCCUAACAGACGUCUAUAUGCACCGUGAAUAUUAAUUUUUAAAUCCGAAAGGCGUCAUAUUAGUGAGGGCCCCGACGUCUAGGCUAUUAUAGACAUCGGUCCCUCCCAACGCCCGACGUCUAUAGCCUUAUAUACAGGAAAACGCGAACCUGCGGGGAGUUACGUUCAUUGUUCAUUGUUUUCCUCUCGUGUUUUCUCUCUGGCAUUGCAUUUCCAGUUUCUGGUGUGUUCUUGGGCGACAUUUUUUAUCCUUUUUGGCCUACGUUUUUGGGCGUGCACUCCUUCAUUUUCCUCCAUUGAGUUUUUAAUCUGCUAAGAAGUAUGGAUCGAAGCUGGAUGAAGGAAUGUCGCAUCAGUGAAGAAUAUGAGAAGGAUGUUUCAGUGUUCUUGCAAUAUUUUCAACAAAAUGUAAAGUCUGUGAAUGGGACAUAUUUUUGUCCUUGUGUUCGUUGUCUUAAUCAAAUACGAAAAGACUUAGGCAAUGUGCGUG
Molecule: long non-coding RNA, 724 nt
Organism: Vigna angularis (adzuki bean)
Lineage: Eukaryota; Viridiplantae; Streptophyta; Magnoliopsida; Fabales; Fabaceae
Exons: 3
Source: RefSeq, a predicted model, not a curated record